Long non-coding RNA from Leopardus geoffroyi (Geoffroy's cat), 2616 nucleotides. RefSeq lists it as uncharacterized. Lineage: Eukaryota; Metazoa; Chordata; Mammalia; Carnivora; Felidae. The record is from RefSeq and is a predicted model, not a curated record. The transcript is spliced from 2 exons.
UUUUCCCUGACCCGGCCGGGCGGGGGAUAACCUGAGUUCUUAGUGGGCAGAUGGAGAGAGGAAGGAUUCCCUCCUCCCCCAAAUUACAUAAUUUAAAAUGUAGCCUGGAUGCGACCUCCCUUUGCCUGGAUGCGCCCGCUCUCUCUCUCUUUCUUACUUAGAACUCUGGAAUGUUUCGGUCUUUACACUGGCCGCGUCUACAGGGACAAAGGCCGCGCGGCUCCAGGGAGCAGCAGUCCGUCUCGGCGGGGGUCAGAGCUGCGGCAGCCGGCAGGGCCGAGCGACUUCGUGAUUUGUAAAUUUAAGAUGUCGGCGUUCAAAGUACACGGAACGAUAAUAAAAGGAGCUGGCAUGCAAGGGGCACGUGCGCGUGCCAGGCGCUCCGUUAAGCACCCCACCCAAGUGAGCUCACCAUUAACCCCUAUGAGGUGGGUAUGAUUUUUAUCCCUGUUUGACAGAGGAGGAAACUGAGGCACACGGCAGUUAAGUCACUUAACCAAGAUCACCUGGGACACUGGAGCCGGAAUUCCAGUCGAAGGCGACGCCAGAACCCACUUCAAUCCCUCUUCCUAAUUCAGGUGGAGGCGUAUGUACGUACCUAUGCUGCACGUGUCCCCGGCUGCAGAGAAAUCUAUGGGCGUGUUCCGAGUUUUCGUGUGUCUCACGCGCCCUUUGGAGGAGAGAACAUUUUCAUUUCUCUGGGCAUCGGUCUAGCAGUGGGAAAAGUGCAGCUUCUUUUAGGUGUUCCAUUCCCCCGCCCUCUCUCCCCGGGCAAAGACCAAAGGCUUGAUGAAGCGAGGGGUGCACUGGGGGCAAAACCCCAUUUAAAAAUGCCUGUGGCGGGGCCCAGGGGCAGAAACCGUGUUCUCAUUCUGAUCUGAGUUGAGAGCCAGAGGAAUGACAGCGGGGCCGGCCUGUGCCAGGCCAGGCAGGGUGACCCCGCUGACUCCAGAGUGUCGCCUCCCCCGCGGGGUGGGAGAGGGACACUCGGGCUUGGGGUGUCUUGGGCGUCUCGACUCCAGGCCUCGGAUCCUCUCUCUAUCUUCCCUACAUUCGCUGCGCUCCAUCCGCCCAGGCGCCAAGGCCGGGGACUGCGUGCAGGUGGGGACCGCGGGCAUCAGCACCAUUUGUUUCCUUCCACCCUGCCCAGCCUCCCGGAACCUAAGCGAGCUCAGUCGUCCCUGCCCUCUUCCGCUCAACUCUCUGGCCUCAGCUGGGAGCUCAGCUCGUGGGGAGAAAGAUUCUGCGGUGAAGCGGGAGAAGGGGUGUUUCGUGCACAGCCCUGCGUAGCAGAAGGGGUGCCUGAUUAUGGCGCGGCGCGGCCCAGCUUCCUGCAGCUUGGGCAUCCGCAGGCCCCACGCACCUGGAGAGCCGAGGCCGGGUGGGCUGCAGGCCGGGCAGGGGUGAAACGACACAUUGCUGGAGUAGGGACUGGCCACCCCUCUUCUCUGCCCCAAGCCGCAAAGCGCUUCCUGCCGGGCAGCUGAGAUGAAGUCAGGCUGCCUUUGCGUCUUGGAUCGAGCAGCUUCGGCUCCGUCCCUGGAAUGGGAGGCGCGUGGGGGCUUAGUGAGGGGACAUUGGGACCAUCCCGAGCUGUCCGGGUCUCCACCCCACCCCAGCCCCAGUCCAAAGUCCCCAGUCAGCCGGUCUCUUUGAGCUUUUGAAAUGCGAUCUCCCGAGCCACUUCGGUUUCCCGCUAAUGACCCCGGCUCUGGUUUCGGGUUGGGGAAUUGCACUUGGUGGGGGGGGGGGAGGAUUGCUCCCCCAGGCCCGCGCCAGCCAACUCUCGCCUAGGCGCUCUUCCUGCCGGCGAGGUGCGGUCCUGCCCCCUCAAGGUCCCCAAAGCGUCCUGGAUACCCAAGCACGGAACUGACACUCGCUCGCCUGACUUCCUUUCUGCCACUUUGGCGGUGCGGUUCGCCCCCGGCCCGAAUGUCGGCAUCUUUAAUUCACUUCGGCGGCGGUAGCUCCGGGAGAGGGGGAGAGGGCCGGCUGUUUGUGGGCGUAACUUCGUCACACCCCCCACCCCGUCGCCCAGUCCCCCAAUCCUUCCAACACAGGCUUGGAACCGAGGUGUGAGCCUGUUAUGGGAGCCAGCCGAACAGUGGACCCAUCAUCCCCGGUCACCACCCGGCCUACCCCGUGGCGCCCACUCUCCCCAAGGCCAGCACCGGUUAGCUAAUUGGGUAUUUAUUCUCUAGGGUGGGCGCUCUUCAAGGAAGCCAGAGCUCACGACUUCAGGGAAGCCGCAGAAAUCACAGAAGUUUGUUCCUGCGCAUAUAUUGGGAUUUGGGGGCACAGGAGCCCUGCGAUUUUGCCCAGAGUCUUGGAGACGCGUGAGCCCAACCAAAUGAAGAACCCCUCGCUCCCCUGGGAACAAAAAGAAAUGAGAAGAAGUUUUCAGGAGGUCCCUGGGGACUCUUGUCUUGGCCAGGUCAACCUUAGUUUAAGGGACUAAUUCCAUCUUUCUAACCUUCUAGAAGGACACUCUUUCCUUGCUUAUUUUGAAGCUAAGCCUCCAGACCCCCAGGGCCCCAGGCAUUGUCUAAUUAGUUGACUAGUUAAUGAUAUUAACUCAUCAGCCAAAUGAUUAUGAACAAUCAUUAUCACCCCUAA